CGAAAGCCUGACGGAGCAAGACCGCGUGAGGGAGGAAGGCCCUUGGGUUGUAAACCUCUUUUGUCAGGGAAGAAGAAAGUGACGGUACCUGACGAAUCAGCCUCGGCUAACUCCGUGCCAGCAGCCGCGGUAAUACGGAGGAGGCAAGCGUUAUCCGGAAUUAUUGGGCGUAAAGCGUCCGCAGGUGGCUAAUCAAGUCUGCCGUCAAAGGCCAGGGCUUAACCCUGGAAAGGCGGUGGAAACUGAUAGAGCUAGAGUGCGGUAGGGGUAGAGGGAAUUCCCAGUGUAGCGGUGAAAUGCGUAGAGAUUGGGAAGAACACCGGUGGCGAAAGCGCUCUACUGGGCCUGCACUGACACUGAGGGACGAAAGCUAGGGGAGCG
RNAcentral lists this ribosomal RNA (381 nucleotides) under uncultured Loriellopsis sp. RNAcentral describes it as "bacterial SSU rRNA". It matches the Rfam family "Bacterial small subunit ribosomal RNA", at positions 376 to 770 of the family's 1533-position model. Lineage: Bacteria; Bacillati; Cyanobacteriota; Cyanophyceae; Nostocales; Symphyonemataceae. The record is from RNAcentral.